UACGUAGGUGGCAAGCGUUGUCCGGAAUUAUUGGGCGUAAAGCGCGCGCAGGCGGUCCUUUAAGUCUGAUGUGAAAGCCCACGGCUCAACCGUGGAGGGUCAUUGGAAACUGGGGGACUUGAGUACGGAAGAGAAGAGUGGAAUUCCACGUGUAGCGGUGAAAUGCGUAGAGAUGUGGAGGAACACCAGUGGCGAAGGCGACUCUUUGGUCUGUAACUGACGCUGAGGCGCGAAAGCGUGGGGAGCAAACAGG
RNAcentral lists this ribosomal RNA (253 nucleotides) under uncultured bacterium. RNAcentral describes it as "partial 16S ribosomal RNA". It matches the Rfam family "Bacterial small subunit ribosomal RNA", at positions 524 to 776 of the family's 1533-position model. The record is from RNAcentral.